RNAcentral lists this ribosomal RNA (301 nucleotides) under uncultured bacterium. RNAcentral's name for it is "partial 16S ribosomal RNA". It matches the Rfam family "Bacterial small subunit ribosomal RNA", at positions 509 to 808 of the family's 1533-position model. The record is from RNAcentral.
CAGUCGCCGCGUUAAUGCGUAGGUCCCGAGCGUUGUCCGGAUUUAUUGGGCGUAAAGGGAGCGCAGGCGGUUUAGUAUGUCUGAAGUUAAAGGCAUUGGCUCAACCAAUGUAUGCUUUGGAAACUGUUAGACUUGAGUGCAGAAGGGGAGAGUGGAAUUCCAUGUGUAGCGGUGAAAUGCGUAGAUAUAUGGAGGAACACCGGUGGCGAAAGCGGCUCUCUGGUCUGUCACUGACGCUGAGGCUCGAAAGCGUGGGUAGCGAACAGGAUUAGAUACCCCUGUAGUCCCUGUCUCUUAUACA